AGAGUUUGAUCCUGGCUCAGGAUGAACGCUGGCGGUCUGCUUAACACAUGCAAGUCGAACGGAAUCUUUCGGGAUUUAGUGGCGGACGGGUGAGUAACGCGUGAGAAUCUGCCUUCAGGUUCGGGACAACAGUUGGAAACGGCUGCUAAUACCGGAUGUGCCGAGAGGUGAAAGCUUAAGUGCCUGGAGAUGAGCUCGCGUCUGAUUAGCUAGUAGGAGUGGUAACGGCACCCCUAGGCGACGAUCAGUAGCUGGUCUGAGAGGAUGAUCAGCCACACUGGGACUGAGACACGGCCCAGACUCCUACGGGAGGCAGCAGUGGGGAAUUUUCCGCAAUGGGCGCAAGCCUGACGGAGCAAGACCGCGUGAGGGAAGAAGGUCUGUGGAUUGUAAACCUCUUUUGAUCGGGAAGAAGACAGUGACGGUACCGAUCGAAUCAGCUCGAAUUCCGCC
RNAcentral lists this ribosomal RNA (453 nucleotides) under uncultured cyanobacterium. Its description in RNAcentral is "bacterial SSU rRNA". It matches the Rfam family "Bacterial small subunit ribosomal RNA", at positions 8 to 507 of the family's 1533-position model. Lineage: Bacteria; Bacillati; Cyanobacteriota. The record is from RNAcentral.